UCUGAAUAUGGGGGGACCAUCCUCCAAGGCUAAAUACUCCUGACUGACCGAUAGUGAACCAGUACCGUGAGGGAAAGGCGAAAAGAACCCCGGCGAGGGGAGUGAAAAAGAACCUGAAACCGUGUACGUACAAGCAGUGGGAGCACGCUUAGGCGUGUGACUGCGUACCUUUUGUAUAAUGGGUCAGCGACUUAUAUUCUGUAGCAAGGUUAACCGAAUAGGGGAGCCGAAGGGAAACCGAGUCUUAACUGGGCGUUAAGUUGCAGGGUAUAGACCCGAAACCCGGUGAUCUAGCCAUGG
RNAcentral lists this ribosomal RNA (300 nucleotides) under Escherichia coli. RNAcentral describes it as "partial 23S ribosomal RNA". It matches the Rfam family "Bacterial large subunit ribosomal RNA", at positions 437 to 739 of the family's 2925-position model. The record is from RNAcentral. Lineage: Bacteria; Pseudomonadati; Pseudomonadota; Gammaproteobacteria; Enterobacterales; Enterobacteriaceae.